GAUAAAAGUAUAAUAACAAAUCAGCUUCCACUCAUGUAAGCCGAUAGGUAUCUCUCUGCCAAGAAGAAUCUUGCUUUAUGACUUGUGAAUUGAAAUUUGUAUCCUCUCUAAGCACUAUUCUAUCCAAAGGUGCAGGGAGUGGUGCUAACCAAAGCAGUCUCUCCUGGCAUGAGGAGGUGAUAGAUCACACUCUUAAUCACUUGCUGCAGAUUAAGCUCUCCCUUUCUGUUGCCCUUUUGGCCUGCAGCUGCUGACAACGACAUGAGAAAUUGGCUGAAGUGCUCGAUGAAGCAGUCAAGCUGGGACUGUGUAUCCAUCUCUUACAUGAGGCUCUUUGCCUAAAGCAUCUAUCACCUCUGUCCAGCUUCUGGAAACUCCUGGGAUAGGAGAGCAAACCAGUCAAGAUCAUGAUGUAUUAAAUGAAGCAUGUAUAAAACCUGGAUGCAGAGACCUCUAUUCAUGUCCAACGCCUUUCCUGGGAAUGGCAGCAGGGGCACUUUAAUAGCAGGAGCUGCAAUCAGGUCUCAGGAUUCAGCAGUUGACCUCUUGCCCAUUUGUCUUUUGCAACAUCCAAGUUUCUCAUGGUCAGCUGAGCCCCAUGGACAACAACUCUGCCGACGUGUACCUGGCAACUGUGGGGAGUCACAAAGGCUCUGUGGUGAGACAGCUUGCUUACUGCAUGUGCCAGGAGAAGCAGCCAUGAUUCCUGACAUCUUGCACUGGGAGGAGUAAGAGGCCAGCUCCCCAGAGCUGGAAUGGGAGGAAGGACAUUGCCAAAGAGUGGCUUUUUCCCUGCUGGGAAGGAAAUUCCAACCAUUUUUUAUGGUGAGUUGAUUUUUGCACUUCACAAAACGUGACCAUCUUAUCAAGACUAGUAACCUGCAGUUAAUGCACCUACUUGUGUGUUCAAGAGAAUAAAUUCACUCAAGUCAGAAUUUUGACUGUAAAC
This 949-nucleotide long non-coding RNA is filed under the name Parus major (Great Tit). Its description in RNAcentral is "lncRNA (ENSPMJG00000009372.1)". Lineage: Eukaryota; Metazoa; Chordata; Aves; Passeriformes; Paridae. The record is from RNAcentral.